GGGGCUAAGCAAUUCUACAAGAACCACCAUCGCCCUAACUUGCUGAAACAUCAAUCUAGAGUUGAUCAUCUUAUGGGCUUUGCAAGUGCCGGAAUGGCAAGAUUCAUCAGCGCGCACCAAAAGGAGUUUCAAUUUUUCCGGGCAGUGAUGACAAUGAUUGAUCAGACCCAAACGUGAGUGGUGGAACAGAACCUACUGAACCGAGAGGGCUACCUGCAAUUGAUGAUCCGGCAAGGACGAUCGCAGAUCAAGAAUUUGAUAAUGAAGACUUAUAGUUUUUGUUCCCCAAAGGAGAGACCUGCAUGUUAUUAACAUCAUUUUCUCUGG
Long non-coding RNA from Hibiscus syriacus, 327 nucleotides. RefSeq lists it as uncharacterized. The record is from RefSeq and is a predicted model, not a curated record. Lineage: Eukaryota; Viridiplantae; Streptophyta; Magnoliopsida; Malvales; Malvaceae. The transcript is spliced from 3 exons.